GACGAACGCUGGCGGCGUGCUUAACACAUGCAAGUCGAACGAAGAGCGAUGGAAGCUUGCUUCUAUCAAUCUUAGUGGCGCACGGGUGAGUAACGCGUAAUCAACCUGCCCUUCAGAGGGGGACAACAGUUGGAAACGACUGCUAAUACCGCAUACGAUCUAACCUCGGCAUCGAGGAUGGAUGAAAGGUGGCCUCUAUUUAUAAGCUAUCACUGCAGGAGGGGAUUGCGUCUGAUUAGCUAGUUGGAGGGGUAACGGCCCACCAAGGCGAUGAUCAGUAGCCGGUCUGAGAGGAUGAACGGCCACAUUGGGACUGAGACACGGCCCAGACUCCUACGGGAGGCAGCAGUGGGGAAUCUUCCGCAAUGGACGAAAGUCUGACGGAGCAACGCCGCGUGAGUGAUGACGGCCUUCGGGUUGUAAAGCUCUGUUAAUCGGGACGAAAGGCCUUCUUGCGAAUAGUUAGAAGGAUUGACGGUACCGGAAUAGAAAGCCACGGCUAACUACGUG
This 510-nucleotide ribosomal RNA is filed under the name uncultured bacterium. Its description in RNAcentral is "partial 16S ribosomal RNA". It matches the Rfam family "Bacterial small subunit ribosomal RNA", at positions 28 to 507 of the family's 1533-position model. The record is from RNAcentral.